GUGUCAGCAGCCGCGGUAAGACGUAGGGGGCGAGCGUUGUCCGGAUUCAUUGGGCGUAAAGCGCGCGUAGGCGGCCCGGUAAGUCGGAUGUGAAAUCUCACGGCUCAACCGUGGAACUGCAUUCGAAACUGUCGGGCUAGAGGCAGGUAGGGGAGAUCGGAAUUCCCGGUGUAGCGGUGAAAUGCGCAGAUAUCGGGAGGAACACCGGUGGCGAAGGCGGAUCUCUGGGCCUGUCCUGACGCUCAGGCGCGAAAGCUAGGGGAGCGAACAGGAUUAGAUACCCUGGUAGUCC
Molecule: ribosomal RNA, 292 nt
Filed under: uncultured bacterium
Lineage: Bacteria
Description: partial 16S ribosomal RNA
Rfam family: Bacterial small subunit ribosomal RNA
Source: RNAcentral